This 200-nucleotide ribosomal RNA is filed under the name uncultured prokaryote. RNAcentral describes it as "partial 16S ribosomal RNA". It matches the Rfam family "Bacterial small subunit ribosomal RNA", at positions 1181 to 1382 of the family's 1533-position model. The record is from RNAcentral.
GACGUCAAAUCAUCAUGCCCUUUAUGUCCUGGGCUACACACGUACUACAAUGGCUGUUACAGAGAGAAGCGAAGCAGUAAUGCGGAGCAAACUUAAAAGACAGUCUCAGUUCGGAUUGCAGGCUGCAACCCGCCUGCAUGAAGUCGGAAUUGCUAGUAAUCGCGAAUCAGCAUGUCGCGGUGAAUACGUUCCCGGGCCUU